GAAAGUAAAGAAGGGCGCAUGGCGGAUGCCUUGGCUCUCGGAGGCGAUGAAGGACGUGAUAAGCUGCGAUAAGCUUUGGGGAGGUGCAAAUGACCUUUGAUCCAGAGAUUUCCGAAUGGGACAACCCAAUAUCUUGAAGAGGUAUUAUCCAACGUUGUUGGAGGCUAACGCAGGGAACUGAAACAUCUUAGUACCUGCAGGAAAAGAAAAUAAACAAUGAUUCCCCCAGUAGUGGCGAGCGAACGGGGAACAGCCCAAACCAUCCAUGUUACGGCAUGGGUGGGGUUGUAGGACUACGCCGUUGCAUGAAGACAUCAGAGAAGAACUUUCUGGAAAGAAAGACCAUAGAGCAUGACAGUUGCGUAUUCGAAUGUUGUCGAAGCAUAGUAGUAUCCUGAGUAGCGCGGAGCACGAGGAAUUCUGCGUGAAUCUGCCGGGACCAUCCGGUAAGGCUAAAUACUCCCGAGAGACCGAUAGCGAACCAGUACCGUGAGGGAAAGGUGAAAAGCACUUCGAACAGAAGAGUGAAAUAGUUCCUGAAACCGUGCGCCUACAAGCGGUCGGAGCUCGUUAAUGAGUGACGGCGUGCCUUUUGCAUAAUGAACCUACGAGUUGCCUUUGCCGGCAAGGUUAAGUGUGACGACACACGUAUCCGAAGCGAAAGCGAGUCUGAACAGGGCGUAUAGUCGGCAGUGGCAGACGCGAAACCAAGUGAUCUACCCUUGGCCAGGUUGAAGGCUGGGUAACACCAGCUGGAGGACCGCACCAAUAAGCGUUGAAAAGCUUCUGGAUGAGCUGAGGGUAGGGGUGAAAGGCUAAUCAAACUUGGAGAUAGCUCGUACUCCCCGAAAUGCAUUUAGGUGCAGCCUUGCGGGUUACUGAUGUGAGGUAGAGCGACUGAUAAGAUGCGAGGGCUUCACCGCCUAUCAAGUCUUGACAAACUCCGAAUGCGCAUCAGUCCUACCGCAGGAGUGAGGGCAUGGGUGCUAAGGUCCGUGCCCGAGAGGAGAAGAAUCCGGACCACCUGCUAAGGUCCCGAAAUGACAGCUAAGUUAAACUAACGAAGUCUGACUGCUAAGACAGCUAGGAUGUUGGCUUGGAAGCAGCCAUUCAUUUAAAGAGUGCGUAACAGCUCACUAGUCGAGGAGUCUGGCGUGGAUAAUAAUCGGGUAUUAAGUUGUCUACCGAAGCAGUGGGAUCAUUGAAAUGAUCGGUAGGGGAGCAUUCCAGUCAGCGUCGAAGGCGUACCGCGAGGUAUUCUGGAGCGUCUGGAAAAGCAAAUGUAGGUAUAAGUAACGAUAAAGGGGGCGGGAAACCCCCUCGCCGAAAGACUAAGGUUUCCUGAUCAACGCUAAUCGGAUCAGGGUAAGUCGGGUCCUAAGGCUCAGCCGAACGGCGAGGCCGAUGGCAGAACCGGUUAAUAUUCCGGUACUACCUGUGGGAGUGACGUGGAGACGGAGUCGUGACAGCGCCGCGGACUGACGGAAUAGUCCGUUGAAGGGUGUAGAUGCUGAUUGUUCCAGGCAAAUCCGGAGCAAGAGUCGAACCUGAUAGUAUGGAGCGUUCUUAGAACAAUCCAAUAGUGCGUGUAAUCAUACUUCCAAGAAAAUCCGCUAAACUUAAUCCUGCAGGUACCCGUACCGCAAACGGACACACGUAGUCGGGAUGAAUAUUCUAAGGCGCUUGAGUGAUUCACGGUUAAGGAACUAGGCAAACUGACCCUGUAACUUCGGGAUAAAGGGUCCCUACCCUUUUAUGGGAGGGCGCAGAGAAUCGGUCCAGGCAACUGUUUAACAAAAACACAGGGCUGUGCCAAAUCGAAAGAUCCAGUAUACAGCCUGACACCUGCCCGGUGCUGGAAGGUUAAGAGGAGAUGUCAUCGAUAAGAGAAGCGUUGAAUUGAAGCCCCAGUAAACGGCGGCCGUAACUAUAACGGUCCUAAGGUAGCGAAAUUCCUUGUCGGGU
Molecule: ribosomal RNA, 1965 nt
Filed under: human gut metagenome
Description: bacterial LSU rRNA
Rfam family: Bacterial large subunit ribosomal RNA
Source: RNAcentral